GAUGAAGAACGUAGCGAAAUGCGAUAAGUAAUGUGAAUUGCAGAAUUCAGUGAAUCAUCGAAUCUUUGAACGCACCUUGCGCCCUUUGGACUUCUGAAGGGCAUGCCAGUUUGAGUAUCAUGAACACCUCAACUCCUUAUGGUCUUCCAUGAUGAGCUUGGACUUUGGGGGUUUUGCUGGCCUACAGUCAGCUCCUCUAAAAUAAAUCAGCUUACCGGUGUUUGGUGGGUAUCAUGGGUGUGAUAACUAUCUACGCUCGUGGUUUUCCACCAGGUAACCUUCAGCAGUGGAGGUUCACUGGAGCUCAUAGAUGUCUCUCCUCAGCGAGGACAGCCCUUUGAAUGUUUGAUCUCAAAUCAGGUAGGACUACCCGCUGAACUUAAGCAUAUCAAUAAGCGGAGGA
This 403-nucleotide unclassified non-coding RNA is filed under the name soil metagenome. RNAcentral's name for it is "partial contains 5.8S ribosomal RNA, internal transcribed spacer 2, and large subunit ribosomal RNA". The stretch from base 1 to 120 matches the Rfam family "5.8S ribosomal RNA", at positions 35 to 154 of the family's 154-position model. The record is from RNAcentral.